UACGAAGGGGGCUAGCGUUGCUCGGAAUCACUGGGCGUAAAGCGCACGUAGGCGGAUUGCUAAGUCAGGGGUGAAAUCCUGGAGCUCAACUCCAGAACUGCCUUUGAUACUGGCGAUCUUGAGUCCGGGAGAGGUGAGUGGAACUGCGAGUGUAGAGGUGAAAUUCGUAGAUAUUCGGAAGAACACCAGUGGCGAAGGCGGCUCACUGGACUGGUAUUGACGCUGAGGUGCGAAAGCGUGGGGAGCGAACAGG
This 253-nucleotide ribosomal RNA is filed under the name uncultured bacterium. RNAcentral's name for it is "partial 16S ribosomal RNA". It matches the Rfam family "Bacterial small subunit ribosomal RNA", at positions 524 to 776 of the family's 1533-position model. The record is from RNAcentral.